UACGUAGGGGGCAAGCGUUGUCCGGAAUUAUUGGGCGUAAAGCGCGUGUAGGCGGCUCGGUAAGUCUGCUGUGAAAGUCCAGGGCUCAACCCUGGAAUGCCGGUGGAUACUGUCGAGCUAGAGUCCGGAAGAGGCGAGUGGAAUUCCUGGUGUAGCGGUGAAAUGCGCAGAUAUCAGGAGGAACACCAAUGGCGAAGGCAGCUCGCUGGGACGGUACUGACGCUGAGACGCGAAAGCGUGGGGAGCAAACGGG
RNAcentral lists this ribosomal RNA (253 nucleotides) under uncultured bacterium. Its description in RNAcentral is "partial 16S ribosomal RNA". It matches the Rfam family "Bacterial small subunit ribosomal RNA", at positions 524 to 776 of the family's 1533-position model. The record is from RNAcentral.